UACGGAGGGUGCAAGCGUUAUCCGGAUUUAUUGGGUUUAAAGGGUCCGUAGGCGGAUCAGUAAGUCAGUGGUGAAAUCCUGCAGCUCAACUGUAGAACUGCCAUUGAUACUGCUGAUCUUGAAUAUGGUUGAAGUGGGCGGAAUAUGACAUGUAGCGGUGAAAUGCUUAGAUAUGUCAUAGAACACCGAUAGCGAAGGCAGCUUGCUACACAAUCAUUGACACUGAGGCACGAAAGCGUGGGGAUCAAACAGG
Molecule: ribosomal RNA, 253 nt
Filed under: uncultured bacterium
Lineage: Bacteria
Description: partial 16S ribosomal RNA
Rfam family: Bacterial small subunit ribosomal RNA
Source: RNAcentral